UUCUAGUUUACUAGAAGGCGUCGAGCGGCCCGUACUUGGUGAGUAAUGCUUGGGAAUAUGCCUUUAGGUGGGGGACAACAGUUGGAAACGACUGCUAAUACCGCAUAAUGUCUACGGACCAAAGGAGGGGAUCUUCGGACCUUUCGCCUUUAGAUUAGCCCAAGUGAGAUUAGCUAGAUGGUGGGGUAAUGGCCUACCAUGGCGACGAUCUCUAGCUGGUUUGAGAGGAUGAUCAGCCACACUGGGACUGAGACACGGCCCAGACUCCUACGGGAGGCAGCAGUGGGGAAUAUUGCACAAUGGGCGAAAGCCUGAUGCAGCCAUGCCGCGUGUGUGAAGAAGGCCUUCGGGUUGUAAAGCACUUUCAGUAGGGAGGAAAGGGUAGUCGCUAAUAUCGGCUAUCUGUGACGUUACCUACAGAAGAAGCACCGGCUAACUCCGUGCCAGCAGCCGCGGUAAUACGGAGGGUGCGAGCGUUAAUCGGAAUUACUGGGCGUAAAGCGUGCGUAGGCGGAUUGUUAAGCGAGAUGUGAAAGCCCAGGGCUCAACCUUGGAACUGCAUUUCGAACUGGCUGUCUAGAGUAUUGUAGAGGGUGGUGGAAUUUCCAGUGUAGCGGUGAAAUGCGUAGAGAUUGGAAGGAACAUCAGUGG
This 651-nucleotide ribosomal RNA is filed under the name Thalassotalea ponticola. Its description in RNAcentral is "bacterial SSU rRNA". It matches the Rfam family "Bacterial small subunit ribosomal RNA", at positions 73 to 715 of the family's 1533-position model. The record is from RNAcentral. Lineage: Bacteria; Pseudomonadati; Pseudomonadota; Gammaproteobacteria; Alteromonadales; Colwelliaceae.